CGCGAAUGGCUCAUUACAACAGCCGUUGUUUCUUGGAUCUUGUUUUACUUGGAUAACUGUGGUAAUUCUAGAGCUAAUACAUGCUAAAAAGCUCUAACCUUACGGAAGGAGCGCAUUUAUUAGACCAAGACCAAACAGGCUUUGCCUGGAAUCUGGUGACUCUGAAUAACUUUGCUGAUCACAUGGUCUAGCACCGGUGACAUUUCUUUCAAGUGUCUGCCCUAUCAACUUUCGAUGGUAGCUUAUGCGCCUACCAUGGUGGUAACGGGUAACGGAGAAUAAGGGUUCGACUCCGGAGAGGGAGCCUGAGAAAUGGCUACCACAUCCAAGGAAGGCAGCAGGC
Molecule: ribosomal RNA, 343 nt
Filed under: Bradylaimus suecicus
Lineage: Eukaryota; Metazoa; Nematoda; Chromadorea; Desmodorida; Desmodoridae
Description: SSU rRNA
Rfam family: Eukaryotic small subunit ribosomal RNA
Source: RNAcentral